CCCUUAGAUGUUCUGGGCUGCAUGCGCGCUACACUGACACACUCAGCGAGUCACCUGAUCUGAGAAGACCGGGCAAUCAUGUGAGCGUGUGUCGUGAUGGGGAUAGAAUAUUGUAAUUAUUACUCUUCAACGAGGAAUUCCUAGUAAGCGCGAGUCAGCAGCUCGCGCUGAUUACGUCCCUGCCCUUUGUACACACCGCCUGUCGCUCCUACCGAGGGGGUGAUCCGGUGAAUGAUUCGGACUUUGGCAUUGCUAUGUUUCAUAGCAUUGCUGGGGGAAGUCUUGUGAACCUUAUCACUUGGAGGAAGGAGAAGUCGUAACA
Molecule: ribosomal RNA, 322 nt
Filed under: uncultured eukaryote
Lineage: Eukaryota
Description: partial 18S ribosomal RNA
Rfam family: Eukaryotic small subunit ribosomal RNA
Source: RNAcentral